Molecule: ribosomal RNA, 733 nt
Filed under: uncultured soil bacterium
Lineage: Bacteria
Description: bacterial SSU rRNA
Rfam family: Bacterial small subunit ribosomal RNA
Source: RNAcentral
UGGCGGUGCGCCUAACACAUGCAAGUCGAACGGUGAACCGGGCUUCGGCCCGGGGAUCAGUGGCGAACGGGUGCGUAACACGUGGGCAACCUGCCCCCGACCCUGGGAUAACCCCGGGAAACCGGAGCUAAUACCGGAUACUCUCCUCCGACCACAUGGUCAGAAGAGGAAAGGUCCGCCGGUCGGGGAUGGGCCCGCGGCCUAUCAGCUUGUUGGUGGGGUAAAGGCCUACCAAGGCAUCGAUCAGUAGCUGGUCUGAGAGGACGACCAGCCACACUGGAACUGAGACACGGUCCAGACUCCUACGGGAGGCAGCAGUGGGGAAUUUUGGACAACGGGCGCAAGCCUGAUCCAGCAAUGCCGCGUGAGUGAAGAAGGCCUUCGGGUUGUAAAGCUCUUUUGUCAGGGAAGAAACGGCGGUUUCUAAUACAGAUCGCUAAUGACGGUACCUGAAGAAUAAGCACCGGCUAACUACGUGCCAGCAGCCGCGGUAAUACGUAGGGUGCAAGCGUUAAUCGGAAUUACUGGGCGUAAAGCGUGCGCAGGCGGUUUUGUAAGUCUGUCAUGAAAUCCCCGGGCUCAACCUGGGAAUGGCGAUGGAGACUGCAAGGCUAGAGUUUGGCAGAGGGGGGUAGAAUUCCACGUGUAGCAGUGAAAUGCGUAGAGAUGUGGAGGAACACCGAUGGCGAAGGCAGCCCCCUGGGUCAAGUCUGACGCUCAUGCACGAAAGCGU